RNAcentral lists this non-coding RNA (93 nucleotides) under Sporanaerobacter sp. PP17-6a. Its description in RNAcentral is "THF (Tetrahydrofolate) riboswitch aptamer". It matches the Rfam family "THF (Tetrahydrofolate) riboswitch aptamer". Rfam says of the family: THF riboswitch presents a pseudoknot that joins P1-P2 and the loop of P3 and two THF binding. Lineage: Bacteria; Bacillati; Bacillota; Tissierellia; Tissierellales; Sporanaerobacteraceae. The record is from Rfam by way of RNAcentral. RNAcentral also lists the same sequence under 1 other name.
AACAGAGUAGGUAAAAAGCGUAAAGUGUUAAGGGAUGGGAAGUUGCCUUUAAACGAAAGACUAUGUCUGCGGUUUUUUACUGCGUCCGCUGUU